Molecule: ribosomal RNA, 438 nt
Filed under: uncultured bacterium
Lineage: Bacteria
Description: partial 16S ribosomal RNA
Rfam family: Bacterial small subunit ribosomal RNA
Source: RNAcentral
CUACGGGCUGCUGCAGUGGGGAAUAUUGCACAAUGGGCGGAAGCCUGAUGCAGCAACGCCGCGUGAGCGAUGAAGGCCUUCGGGUCGUAAAGCUCUGUCCUCAAGGAAGAUAAUGACGGUACUUGAGGAGGAAGCCCCGGCUAACUACGUGCCAGCAGCCGCGGUAAUACGUAGGGGGCUAGCGCUAUCCGGAAUUACUGGGCGUAAAGGGUGCGUAGGUGGUUUUUCAAGUCAGGAGUGAAAGGCUACGGCUCAACCGUAGUAAGCUCUUGAAACUGUAAAACUUGAGUGCAGGAGAGGAGAGUGGAAUUCCUAGUGUAGCGGUGAAAUGCGUAGAUAUUAGGAGGAACACCAGUUGCGAAGGCGGCUCUCUGGACUGUAACUGACACUGAGGCACGAAAGCGUGGGGAGCAAACAGGAUUAGAUACCCCGGUAGUC